CAACCAGAGUCCCAAUUGGGACAAACCUCAGACCUGUGAUAGCUACCAUGGACAGUAUCUUCUCCUGCUGGGUGAUCUUUGGUCUCCUGGGGUCAGGAUACAUGGCUCCAGGGGUAGAGCAAACUCCCAGACACAAGAUCACUGAGAUUGGACAGCCUGUGAUUCUGAGAUGUGACCCUAUUUCUGGUCACCAGUACAUCUAUUGGUACCGACAGACUGCAGAAAAAGGAAUGGAGUUUAUGGUUUAUAUUUAUAACAAGGACCCCAUGGAAAAGACAGACCUUUUCAAUGAUCGAUUCUCAAUUGAGAAAACUGAAGGAUCCUACUACACUAUGAAGAUCCAUCCCGUGCAGAUCGGAGACUCAGCCAUGUAUUUCUGUGCCAGCAGUCAGCCACAGCCUCACACAGACAUUUCCUGUGCCUACAAAAUCUCAGUGCCUCCUCAUCUCUCCAGGCUCUGA
This is a non-coding RNA of Cavia porcellus (domestic guinea pig), 461 nucleotides long. The record is from the annotation of a RefSeq genome assembly. Lineage: Eukaryota; Metazoa; Chordata; Mammalia; Rodentia; Caviidae.